Molecule: non-coding RNA, 116 nt
Filed under: Laticauda laticaudata (blue-ringed sea krait)
Lineage: Eukaryota; Metazoa; Chordata; Lepidosauria; Squamata; Elapidae
Source: RNAcentral
CAGUUGUAUGAAAGGAGAGAAGAUUAGCACUCCCCUUGAUAAGGAUGGAAGAGGUCCUUGUGGUCUUUGCAACACACAUAUGGUUAAGGUGCUGCCACUUAAGGCUAGAUCCCACU